This 763-nucleotide long non-coding RNA is filed under the name Triticum aestivum (bread wheat). Its description in RNAcentral is "long non-coding RNA (TAES_LNC003132)". The record is from RNAcentral. Lineage: Eukaryota; Viridiplantae; Streptophyta; Magnoliopsida; Poales; Poaceae.
CUAUUGUGGUUGUGAAGCUCGUACAGUCUACUUGAUGUUCGCACAAAAUUUCCUCCAGGCAACAAGACGAUGAGUUCAGUGCAAGUCUUCAGGCUGUAGGGCUAAUCAUAGGCAAAGAAGUCUGGACUUCCGUGGGUUUUCAUGAACGAUUUUGAAAUGAAGAAUAGUUGUUAAGUUAUUAUUUUUGCUAGAAGAGUAGCGUUGCAAAAGAGUAUUGCUGGGGAAGUAACUGGAGCACAUGCUACUAUUUUUACAGGAAAGAACCUAAAUGACCCAACUUAUGAAAUCUACAGAUGUUGCUUACGAAAUCGGUAGAGCCAUGCAUCUGCAAUUAUCUAUUAGCAACAUCAGGUUUGUGUUUGUAUCUCUUCUGCCAUCAUUUCUUGAUCAUUAUGUUAUUUCUUUUCUCAUCUCGAAUCCUUUUUGUUAUAGCCAUACAUUCUCUUUUGGUUUAAGAAGAUAAUAAUCCAGUUUCACUAAAUGCAUUUUCUAUAGCAGCAUAUUCUCUAAUAAUUCAAUCAUACUACGUACUGGUCUAUAAUUUCAUUUCUUUGGUCAUUAAUAUAGCUUUUCCCUGAGAUUGUUUCUCAUAGUGAACAACUCAUAAAAAUGAUUUAUAGGAAAUAUACAAGAAUGAUAGGGUACAUACUAAUGUCUUCUGUAACUUCCCUGUAUGGUUCAGGAUAAGCGUAUUGCAACAGAAGAUUCGAGGGCGAUAACGCGAGGAAGAAAAACUGUCUGUUGCGGGAGAAGAAAUUUUUGC